RNAcentral lists this ribosomal RNA (419 nucleotides) under Camelina sativa (false flax). Its description in RNAcentral is "eukaryotic LSU rRNA". The stretch from base 279 to 419 matches the Rfam family "Eukaryotic large subunit ribosomal RNA", at positions 1 to 141 of the family's 3401-position model. Lineage: Eukaryota; Viridiplantae; Streptophyta; Magnoliopsida; Brassicales; Brassicaceae. The record is from RNAcentral.
UGCAGAAUCCCGUGAACCAUCGAGUCUUUGAACGCAAGUUGCGCCCCAAGCCUUCUGGCCGAGGGCACGUCUGCCUGGGUGUCACAAAUCGUCGUCCCCCCACAUCCUUCGCGGAUAAGGGACGGAAGCUGGCCUCCCGUGUGUUACCGCACGCGGUUGACCAAAAUCCGAGCCAAGGACGCCUGGAGCGUUCCGACAUGCGGUGGUGAACUUGAUCCACUUUCCCUAUCGUCGGUCGCUCUUGUCCGGAAGCUCUAGAUGACCCAAAGUCUUCAAAGCGACCCCAGGUCAGGCGGGAUCACCCGCUGAGUUUAAGCAUAUCAAUAAGCGGAGGAAAAGAAACUAACAAGGAUUCCCUUAGUAACGGCGAGCGAACCGGGAAAAGCCCAGCUUGAAAAUCGGACGUCUUCGGCGUUCGA